Dipodomys ordii (Ord's kangaroo rat) is the source of this 65-nucleotide non-coding RNA. The record is from Rfam. Lineage: Eukaryota; Metazoa; Chordata; Mammalia; Rodentia; Heteromyidae.
GGUGGCUCAGCGGUAGAGCACUUGCCUUGCGUGCAUGAGGCCCUGGGUUCAAUUCCUCAGCACCA